UACGGGGGGGGCAAGCGUUGUUCGGAAUUACUGGGCGUAAAGGGCUCGUAGGCGGCCAACUAAGUCAGACGUGAAAUCCCUAGGCUCAACCUAGGAACUGCGUCUGAUACUGGAUGGCUUGAAUCCGGGAGAGGGAUGCAGAAUUCCAGGUGUAGCGGUGAAAUGCGUAGAUAUCUGGAGGAACACCGGUGGCGAAGGCGGCAUCCUGGACCGGUAUUGACGCUGAGGCGCGAAAGCCAGGGGAGCAAACAGG
RNAcentral lists this ribosomal RNA (253 nucleotides) under uncultured bacterium. RNAcentral's name for it is "partial 16S ribosomal RNA". It matches the Rfam family "Bacterial small subunit ribosomal RNA", at positions 524 to 776 of the family's 1533-position model. The record is from RNAcentral.